UGGCGGACGGGUGAGUAAUGUCUGGGAAACUGCCCGAUGGAGGGGGAUAACUACUGGAAACGGUAGCCAAUACCGCAUAACGUCGCAAGACCAAAGAGGGGGACCUUAGGGCCUCUUGCCAUCGGAUGUGCCCAGAUGGGAUUAGCUAGUAGGUGGGGUAAUGGCUCACCUAGGCGACGAUCCCUAGCUGGUCUGAGAGGAUGACCAGCCACACUGGAACUGAGACACGGUCCAG
RNAcentral lists this ribosomal RNA (235 nucleotides) under uncultured bacterium. RNAcentral describes it as "partial 16S ribosomal RNA". It matches the Rfam family "Bacterial small subunit ribosomal RNA", at positions 96 to 334 of the family's 1533-position model. The record is from RNAcentral.